AAAAAUAAUAUAAGAUAUUGCAUAUAUUUUUUAAUAAAAUAUAACAUAUUAAUUUAUAAAACAUAAUUUCUAUUAUAAAUUUUUGGAUAAAUAUGAUGUAAAAAUUUAUAUUGAUUUGAAAUAAAUUAAAAUAAUUUUUAUGUUUUGUGCUAUCAAAUUUUCCGCAGUUAGAUUUAACUUUUGACUAUUUUCACCCGUUAAAUUAUACUGUUCAACCAAUAACUCACUCAACCUUAGAGAGCCACAUCAUUCUAACCGUACAUUUUUUUAUCCAAAAGCCGAAAACCUAAUAGCACCAAUAGCUUAGUGCUAUUGCUAGUUUUUACACUUUA
RNAcentral lists this long non-coding RNA (332 nucleotides) under Ananas comosus (pineapple). RNAcentral's name for it is "long non-coding RNA (ACOM_LNC013037)". Lineage: Eukaryota; Viridiplantae; Streptophyta; Magnoliopsida; Poales; Bromeliaceae. The record is from RNAcentral.